Molecule: non-coding RNA, 3143 nt
Organism: Epinephelus lanceolatus (giant grouper)
Lineage: Eukaryota; Metazoa; Chordata; Actinopteri; Perciformes; Serranidae
Source: RefSeq, a predicted model, not a curated record
UCAUGGACCAAAUACUGGGUCGCUCUCUGCGGAACCCAGCUUUACUACUACCCUGCCAAGUCCCUGAAGGCCACUGAGAGAAAACAUUUCAAGUCGACGUCCAGUAAGAGUGUGUGUGUGGUGGGUCUAAUGGCCAUGAUGGCUGACGACCCCGAGCAUCCCGACGUCUUCUUGCUGACGGACUCCGAGCACGGUAACACCUACAAGUACCAAGCAGGGAACAAAACGAACGCUUCGCUCUGGUUCAAACAUCUGAGUGCUGCCUGUCAGAGCAAUAGGCAACAGGUGCCAGCCAAUCUGAUGUCAUUCGAGUGACCGAUGCUGAGGAGUGUGACUGAGCAAAAGGAGAGAGAGAGAUGAGGAAACAGAUGAGGAGGAUGAGGAGGAGUAUUGACUCAGUCGUGGGAGCUUUCACUGCCAUGAGCCCUGACCGCCGAUUCUCCGAUUCUAGCCCUGGCCUCACUGCAGCCUCACCUGCCACCACUGCCUUAACCACAGUACCCUGUGUGUGUAUGCGUGUAGAUGUGAGAGAAUGUGAGUCUGUGUGUGUGCGUGCGUGCGUGCGUGCGUGUGUGUGUGUGUGUGUGUGGAUGGAAGUGACUGUUUUGGGUGUACCGACUACUGAACAAGGACCUGCACCACUGCUCUCGUCUCCCAUUUGCCCUCAGUGUCUUUUGUUUUUAGUCUUCAGCACUUCAGUGGAGCCAUUUGACUUCUCCUCUCCUCUCUCACAGACAGACUGUCCUCGGAUGGACAGAAAUAAUCCUCUCCUCUGUUAUGCUUUCCUUUUUAAGGGGUUAACUAUUUUUAAUUGUGUUCCCCUACCAUGCUCGAAUGCAAGAUUUCCGCCUUUUUGAAUGGGCUGGACACACAAUCACAGCACGCACACUCACAUCGGACUAACCCGCUGGACUUUGGAGGGUUUGAAAACACUUUUUUUUUUUAACUUACUCAGUUCACACUUUCAAUUGUUCUCUUAAUUCACUUGUGUUGGCUUGGAGUCACAUGCUUAUUUACAUGAGCCAUGCACUCACACACUCUCACACACACACACACACACACGCACACACAGGCCUAUCUGAUUGCAUCGUCGUAAAACGUAAGGGCUCUGAUUCGCAAUCAAUUCCAGCAGAAACAAUUCCCACACUUCCUGAAUGUGUCUAGUUUUUAUUACAGAACUUUCCCCCUUCUUUCUCAUAUACUCGCUAAGUGUUCUGUACGUAUGUGUGUGUUUGUAUAACUGCAUUGGGUGGCGAGGGGCGAGGGGGGAGGGUGGGAGGGCAAAAUACUUGCUUAUCUUACAGGAAUCUUGUCUGUGUUUUCCACAUUGGUACGAUCGUCCCAGAAUCUAAGCUAAGACGUGUUCACGGUUGGAGAGUUAAUCCUUUUACAAACCUUCAUUUUUGUUUUCUCCAGUGUUGUCUGCUCUCUGUCGGCUGCCGCCCGGUUCACCAGACUCACACACACACUAAACACUAAAGACUUGAAGCUGUGAAAGAGUCCAGGAGACAGAGAGAGCAUCGAGGACAUCUAAUACAUGAUUUUAUCUCCUCUUCUUCUUGUUGCUUAAUAUGGUCAGAGCCUCUGGUCUGGAGCAGACAUUCAAAGCUACCUGGAGCCAUACAGAGUCUACUUUAAAUCUUGUUUGUUUAUAUUGUUUUUGUGUUAGUUUUUUUUUUCCUUUUUUGGGAGGGAUGGUGCAGUUCACAGUAUUACCAUGUAGUAGAUGUUCGCACGUCAACGUAGUUAUGUCUGUUACAUUUGAAUGUUACAUUUUUUUGUUUUUCUCACCUUUCGGAGCAGUUAUUUUGAACAUUUUAUGUACAUGUGAAUUUUAUUUUUCUUUUUUUUGCCCCUUAUUCUGUUAACUAGGACCCAGCUCAGUUUAAUGCCCUAACUGUGUUACAUCUGAUUUGGAAUAGCAUAAGCACCUUGGUUGUCAUUAGUGCCAAGUGAUGUAACGUCACUGUUGAUCUGCGUGAGGAUGAGCAGAGCUGCAGUGGCAUCAGAUGUCGUGUAGGUGCUGGCAUGUUUCAGUGUGGAAAACCUGGGAUUUACAGUUUCCUCUGUGCUUCACACGCGUCUCACGGUGCCAGAAAUAGACUAUUGCUGUUGGUUAUCGUCGGGAGCAAAUUGCAUCCACAUGAAAAAACAUGAUCAGGAUGACGGAGAGGACAAUGAUGGGGAGCUUUUCGCCCAGUAAUAUUCAUCAAAUUCUAAUCUCUCUUUUUAAAAAAAAAACAAAAAAAAAACAGAUGUUUACAUUGUAUGUUUACACAAUCUUUUGCCCCAAAUCACAAUCCCAUCAGUGCUCCACGUGAGUUGUAUAAACCUUGGUAUUACAGGAUGUAGAAACAAAGUGUCCCAUCUGUCAGUGGGGUAUAUUAAAGGGUAAUGUCUGUAUUAUUUUUAAAGCUGGCCCCUAUUUUCCCAUGUGUCUGUGUCUCAGUAAGUAAAGGGAACAACUGUUUUUAAUACCGGCUCACUAUUGAGCAAGCAAAACAGGCUGCAGUGUUAUCACUUGGGUCAGUUUCCGUUCACUUCAAGUGUUUGUUUUUGCCACUGACAGGCUCAGAUUGUUUUAAGUGUCUGACCACAUUGUGGAAAGGAUCCCGACAGAGAUAAACAUUUAUGUUGCAGAGUAAGAUCCUCUUUGAUUCACCAGAAACAGCCAAACCUACCAGACUCCAUUUAAAUAAACAGUGAUUUAAGCAUGUAUAGAGGCAGCAUAUUUCACGUCUAACUGGGUGAAUUAAGGGUUAAUUUCAACCAAUCUAGAGAUGGUGAUUGCUGGAGCAGUGGAAAGAUGAACCAAGGCGGGUUUUGUAAGUUUUAUUAUGCUUCUAUUUAAAUGAAGUGUCUUUCAGCUGUAAGAACCAUAGUGUAAGUGACAUUUGACCGACAGGACAGCCAAAACAAAAAAUCACCACACUCUGUCCUGACUAUUUAUAGUAAUUUAAAUGUUAAAUAUUAAAACCUUGUAAACAUGUGGAGGACAAUAUACUUAAUGAUCAAUAUUUAUUGAUUUUUUUUUUUAAAUAAGUAAGUGCCAUUACACCCUUUUGGCCCUAAAUAGCUCAGUGUUCUCAGUGUUAAGUCUUUUAGUUUUUGAUUAAUAAUUCUGGGUUGGUUUGGAAUUCAUU